Molecule: RNase P RNA, 394 nt
Filed under: Geomonas anaerohicana
Lineage: Bacteria; Pseudomonadati; Thermodesulfobacteriota; Desulfuromonadia; Geobacterales; Geobacteraceae
Description: RNase P RNA component class A
Rfam family: Bacterial RNase P class A
About the family: Ribonuclease P (RNase P) is a ubiquitous endoribonuclease, found in archaea, bacteria and eukarya as well as chloroplasts and mitochondria. Its best characterised activity is the generation of mature 5'-ends of tRNAs by cleaving the 5'-leader elements of precursor-tRNAs.
Source: RNAcentral
CGAAGCAGACCAGAUGGUCGCCGUUCACCUCGCCUUGGGCGAAGGUGGAGGGAGGAAAGUCCGGGCUCCACAGGGCAUGGUGCUGGAUAACGUCCAGCGGGGGCAACCCUAGGGAUAGUGCCACAGAGAGAAGUCCGCCCACCGAAGCCUCGGCGAAGGUGGGUAAGGGUGAAAGGGUGAGGUAAGAGCUCACCGGGUUCGGCGGCGACGUCGGAUGCCAGGUAAACCCCACCAGGAGCAAGACCAAAUAGGGAAGCGCCAAGGACGGCCCGUCCGUGCUUCCGGGUUGGUUGCUUGAGGGUGUCGGCAACGGCACUCCUAGAUGAAUGACUAUCACCCGCCUCCGGGUAACCGGCUGCGGGAACAGAACCCGGCUUACGGGCUGCUUCGGCCA